UACGAGUGCCUCAAGCGUUAUCCGGAAUCAUUGGGCGUAAAGGGUGUGUAGGCGGCUUUGUUAGUCUUCUGUAAAAUCUUUCGGCUCAACCGAGAGUCUGCGGAGGAAACGGCAAAGCUAAGAGGACGGGAGAGGUCUCUGGAACUCAUGGUGUAGCGGUGAAAUGCGUUGAUAUCAUGGGGAACACCAAAAGCGAAGGCAAGAGACUGGCCCGCUCCUGACGCUGAAACACGAAAGCGUGGGUCGCGAA
RNAcentral lists this ribosomal RNA (250 nucleotides) under uncultured bacterium. Its description in RNAcentral is "partial 16S ribosomal RNA". It matches the Rfam family "Bacterial small subunit ribosomal RNA", at positions 524 to 772 of the family's 1533-position model. The record is from RNAcentral.